Molecule: RNA transcript, 1077 nt
Organism: Daucus carota subsp. sativus
Lineage: Eukaryota; Viridiplantae; Streptophyta; Magnoliopsida; Apiales; Apiaceae
Exons: 5
Source: RefSeq, a predicted model, not a curated record
AAAUAUAAGCGGGCUCCAAAUAUCACACUUUAACAAAAUAGCUCUCGCUCUGCAAAUACAUUCAAACUUCAAAAUGUUCAAACUUCAAAGUGACCCUCACAGAUGCUCUCCUUCCCUGGCAUACAUAGAUCGAUUUCAUGUUCCAGCUUCGAUUUCAGGUCCUAUUUAAGCUUUGUUUUUGUGAGAUUUGGCUGAGUUGGGGCUUGUUUGAUUUAAGUAAUGCUGUGAAGUUAGCCAUCUCAUGGUUUUCUUGGUUUGAGCUUUUCUUUGAGUAGCAAGCAGACUAGCUGGAGUUGGUAAAUUCAUUAUGAUCAAUUCCCUGUAUAUAUAAUUUGCUUUGGUUGCAACGGCCAAACUUUGUUGCGAGACCCUGCACGACAUAACAAAGGAACUGCCUUCACUGAGAAAUGGUUAUUAAUUAACAUUUAUGUUGUUUUUUAUCUACGAAGUCAAAUUUUUACUAAUUGUAUUAACACUAUUACAAUUUUAUUUUUUGGUUUUAGGUGAACAAUGUGGAAUGUGUAUCACAUUAGCUUCUGUUUUUAAAUUCGAUUAUCUAAAUUUUUGGUUUUGAUUGUUGCACUUCUUGAGGUUGUCAGGUCCAGCCUACUAGUAAAACAAUAGUAAACCACAUGUUUUUUCAGUGGAUUCAAAGCUAUCGUGAUCUUCCUCUUAUGAUAAAUCAGUUUCACAAGAUGGGAGAUGUGUACUAAACCAUUUGUCAGGACUAUUGAAUUUCUAUGGCAGGAGGGACAUACUGCUCAUGCCACUCCAAAGGAGGCAGAAAAAGAGGAGGAGCUUAAGCCGUUAAUGGACCAACUUAACGGAGUCAAAGAGUUGACUGUUCCAGAAUUUGGAACUCUUUAAGUUUGGGAAGUGCGAGAAAAUGCAAUAAUAUGUUUAUAUAUAUAAUAGUUUAGUGUGCUACUGGUGACUUGUGAUGUUCAGUUGGAUUUGUUUAAUACUUGAUUUGGUUGGAUAUGUUAGGUAGUUUGGUUGGAUUUGUUAUAAACUUCAGUUUGUAUGAAGAAUAGUUUAAUGUUGCAGUUCAUAGAGUAAAAUGUUGUAAUUUUGUUA